Lactuca sativa (garden lettuce) is the source of this 1821-nucleotide long non-coding RNA. RefSeq lists it as uncharacterized. The record is from RefSeq and is a predicted model, not a curated record. Lineage: Eukaryota; Viridiplantae; Streptophyta; Magnoliopsida; Asterales; Asteraceae.
AUAAUUUCACAUGUUUGUUGUUGGUUGUUUUUUUGCGAUUUAAUAUUUGAUUCUUCUUUCCCCAUUUCCAUAAUCGGUUUGCUGUUGUUUCUCUCUUAAAGAUUUUGCUUCGUACUCGCAUCUUCUUCUUGUCGUAAUGUUUCUCCCUCCUCAAUACAUCUCAAUUCCUCUUUCUCUCUCUAGGGUUUUGUUGCUUCACGAUUGAUGUUGAAGAGGACGAAAGGGAAGGGCCUGAUGAAGAGACGAUUUAGCCUAAAGACCGUUACUAAUGACAAAUCGAUGACAUGGAACCUUAAAUUAAGUAAUCGUACAUGAAAAAAUCAUCAUGACCACCUUCAGAAUAUAGUUCUUUUAGUGCCUGGGUUUGCUGGAUCUAUUCUCAAUGCUAAUGAUGUUGAAACAGGGAAAGAAGAGAUGGUUUGGGGUUCAAAUUUGGGAAUUUGAUUGUCAAUUUUUGUGGGAAACUUUGCUGUCAGUUCGUACUGAUUGAACAAAGUAUGUUCUUAUCUAACACUAAAUUUAUUAAUCAGAUUUCUAAUAUAUCUACAUGCCCUUCCAGAUCAUCUUUCUUGAUGUUUUUUUAUAAUCGUCAUACCCAGGGUAUUUGUAGUCUUGUCAUGGUUCUACUUAAUUAGGAUUUAGAAUAUUCGUAUGAGACGCAUUUGUGAAUCAAGGUAAUGGUUUCAAUUUCGGUAUGUCCUUUAAAAGCGGAGUUGUUCUUGAUCAAAAAAUAAGAUAUCUCAAUUACCCUUUAACAACAGUGUCAUCCGAAAAUAUACAGCAAUAGUAGAAUAUCAUUCCAUCUUAAUGUUUAAUGACUAUUGAGUAUUGAUUGCAUGUCUAUCAUCCGAAUAUAAACGUCAAUGAUGUGCUAGAAAUUGAAAAUUUAUAAUGACUAACAAUUCUUGGAGGCUCUUGAAACCUUUUUAAUUGUGUGGUUUGAAAGUUUCCAUUGUGAUUACUUUGUUAUCUCAAGUUUAGUGUGCUAGAAUAUGGAGAUUUGGCAGGAGACAUGUUUCUGAACCUUUGGAUACCACUCGAUAAAUUUGUCGAGGAUGAAAAUGUAGUUGCAGGUAAGGAUACAUUAUCUGUCAGAUUAGUAAUAUGGUUUUUGUUGGUUACAUAGAUUGUAAUUAAUUCAUAUGAGAUAUAAUAAGGUUAGGAUGAGGACUUAUUUGUGUUGAGAAUUUAGUAGCAUUUUCCCCAGAUGUUGGUGGACUAGCUACAAGCUCGAGAGUUUCAUGAUCUUUUAAUAUUUUUCUUAGGUUAAAACUAACAGUUUAUUUGUUAUUUUCAUACAAAAAAUGAAAGGGAUUAUUUCAUUAAAUCCUUUUGCGGAAUUGAGAAACCUAGAUUGCAAGUCAACCUCAGACCCUGUGGACUCAUCAAACACUUUCACCGCUCCUUUUGUGUUUAUUUAGCCAACUGUUGGUUGUCUUCAUUUGACAGAAGUGUGUCGGGUGUAAUUUUGAUACCUAUAAAAAGUUUACAUUUUGAUUCUUUUUUUUUUUACCUUAAACUUUACUGCUCAAAGAACAUACAAACCCAUCUCAUUUAGAGCUUCAAAAAUACUGCAAAUCGAGGAAGAAGAUGCACAUGGGAGAAACUUUCAGCCAUUAAAGGCAACUGUGGAAACUGACUUGUUCUUGAUGAAUUUGUUGUAAUUUUAAACCGCAUGGAUACUUAGAACUAUGAGGCUUGUUCUGCUGGUUUUGAUGUUUUUCUUUUGACUUUGGCCCAAUAUCCACCCCUUGACAGUGGUUUUUCAUAGCAGAUACCAAGUUGGUAUAUAGAAAUUUAGAUAUUUGUUAUUUGUAUUUA